Molecule: ribosomal RNA, 1450 nt
Filed under: Priestia megaterium
Lineage: Bacteria; Bacillati; Bacillota; Bacilli; Caryophanales; Bacillaceae
Description: partial 23S ribosomal RNA
Rfam family: Bacterial large subunit ribosomal RNA
Source: RNAcentral
AUGGUUAAGUUAGAAAGGGCGCACGGUGAAUGCCUUGGCACUAGGAGCCGAUGAAGGACGGGACUAACACCGAUAUGCUUCGGGGAGCUGUAAGUGAGCUUUGAUCCGGAGAUUUCCGAAUGGGGAAACCCACUGUUCGUAAUGGAACAGUAUCUUUAUCUGAAUACAUAGGAUAUUGAAGGCAGACCCGGGGAACUGAAACAUCUAAGUACCCGGAGGAAGAGAAAGCAAAUGCGAUUUCCUGAGUAGCGGCGAGCGAAACGGAAUUAGCCCAAACCAAGAGGCUUGCCUCUUGGGGUUGUAGGACACUCUAUACGGAGUUACAAAGGAACGAAGUAAAUGAAGCGACCUGGAAAGGUCCGUCGAAGAAGGUAACAACCCUGUAGUUGAAACUUCGUUCCCUCUUGAGUGGAUCCUGAGUACGGCGGAACACGUGAAAUUCCGUCGGAAGCUGGGAGGACCAUCUCCCAAGGCUAAAUACUACCUAGUGACCGAUAGUGAACCAGUACCGUGAGGGAAAGGUGAAAAGCACCCCGGAAGGGGAGUGAAAGAGAUCCUGAAACCGUGUGCCUACAAGUAGUCAGAGCCCGUUAACGGGUGAUGGCGUGCCUUUUGUAGAAUGAACCGGCGAGUUACGAUCCCAUGCAAGGUUAAGCUGAUAAGGCGGAGCCGUAGCGAAAGCGAGUCUGAAUAGGGCGUUUAGUAUGUGGUUGUAGACCCGAAACCAGGUGAUCUACCCAUGUCCAGGGUGAAGUUCAGGUAACACUGAAUGGAGGCCCGAACCCACGCACGUUGAAAAGUGCGGGGAUGAGGUGUGGGUAGCGGAGAAAUUCCAAUCGAACCUGGAGAUAGCUGGUUCUCUCCGAAAUAGCUUUAGGGCUAGCCUCAUGUUGUGAGAGUCUUGGAGGUAGAGCACUGAUUGGACUAGGGGCCCCCAACGGGUUACCGAAUUCAGUCAAACUCCGAAUGCCAAAGACUUAUCCAUGGGAGUCAGACUGCGAGUGAUAAGAUCCGUAGUCAAAAGGGAAACAGCCCAGACCACCAGCUAAGGUCCCCAAGUAUACGUUAAGUGGAAAAGGAUGUGGAGUUGCUUAGACAACCAGGAUGUUGGCUUAGAAGCAGCCACCAUUUAAAGAGUGCGUAAUAGCUCACUGGUCGAGUGACUCUGCGCCGAAAAUGUACCGGGGCUAAACGUAUCACCGAAGCUGUGGAUUGACAUCUUUGAUGUCAGUGGUAGGAGAGCGUUCUAAGUGCUGUGAAGUCAGACCGUAAGGACUGGUGGAGCGCUUAGAAGUGAGAAUGCCGGUAUGAGUAGCGAAAGACAAGUGAGAAUCUUGUCCACCGAAUGCCUAAGGUUUCCUGAGGAAGGCUCGUCCGCUCAGGGUUAGUCGGGACCUAAGCCGAGGCUGAAAAGCGUAGGCGAUGGCCAACAGGUUGAUAUUCCUGUACC